This 19-nucleotide non-coding RNA is filed under the name Mus musculus (house mouse). Lineage: Eukaryota; Metazoa; Chordata; Mammalia; Rodentia; Muridae. The record is from RNAcentral.
UCUUGCUACUUCGCCUGCU